CAUUGUGAAGCUAAUUAGCAUUAACCUUUUAAGUUAAAGACUGAGAGCUCAACCCUCUCCAUAAUGA
This 67-nucleotide transfer RNA is filed under the name Ochotona thibetana sacraria. RNAcentral's name for it is "tRNA-Lys". It matches the Rfam family "tRNA". From Rfam's summary of the family: Transfer RNA (tRNA) molecules are approximately 80 nucleotides in length. Lineage: Eukaryota; Metazoa; Chordata; Mammalia; Lagomorpha; Ochotonidae. The record is from RNAcentral.